UGGGGCCUGUGAUGACUAAAACAUUUGCCUACAUUGUCUGAUUUCUUUUCCUGAAAGACAAUUUUCAACAUUCUGAGGCCUCA
This 83-nucleotide small nucleolar RNA is filed under the name Erythranthe guttata (spotted monkey flower). RNAcentral describes it as "Mimulus guttatus (spotted monkey flower) Small nucleolar RNA SNORD34". It matches the Rfam family "Small nucleolar RNA SNORD34". From Rfam's summary of the family: snoRNA U34 is found in intron 5 of the ribosomal protein L13a gene in humans. The record is from Rfam by way of RNAcentral. Lineage: Eukaryota; Viridiplantae; Streptophyta; Magnoliopsida; Lamiales; Phrymaceae.